Molecule: ribosomal RNA, 253 nt
Filed under: uncultured bacterium
Lineage: Bacteria
Description: partial 16S ribosomal RNA
Rfam family: Bacterial small subunit ribosomal RNA
Source: RNAcentral
UACGAAGGGGGCUAGCGUUGCUCGGAAUCACUGGGCGUAAAGGGUGCGUAGGCGGGCAGGUAAGUCAGUGGUGAAAGCCCGAGGCUCAACCUCGGAACUGCCUUCGAUACUGCGGGUCUCGAGUCCGGGAGAGGUGAGUGGAAUUCCUAGUGUAGAGGUGAAAUUCGUAGAUAUUAGGAAGAACACCAGUGGCGAAGGCGGCUCACUGGCCCGGUACUGACGCUGAGGCGCGAAAGCGUGGGGAGCAAACAGG